RNAcentral lists this transfer RNA (71 nucleotides) under Lactobacillus johnsonii. RNAcentral describes it as "tRNA-OTHER". It matches the Rfam family "tRNA". Rfam says of the family: Transfer RNA (tRNA) molecules are approximately 80 nucleotides in length. Their secondary structure includes four short double-helical elements and three loops (D, anti-codon, and T loops). The record is from RNAcentral. Lineage: Bacteria; Bacillati; Bacillota; Bacilli; Lactobacillales; Lactobacillaceae.
AGCGAUAUAGCUUAAUCGGUGGAGCGGGCCGUGAAAAUGGCUGCGGGGCGGUUCGAUUCCAUCUAUCGCUA